AGCAGUGUAGUCUGGUGGACAGGGCCCUAGGCUGUGAGUCAAGCAACCUGGGUUCUAUUCCCAGCUUUGCUA
Molecule: transfer RNA, 72 nt
Filed under: Chelonia mydas (Green sea turtle)
Lineage: Eukaryota; Metazoa; Chordata; Testudines; Cheloniidae
Rfam family: tRNA
About the family: Transfer RNA (tRNA) molecules are approximately 80 nucleotides in length. Their secondary structure includes four short double-helical elements and three loops (D, anti-codon, and T loops).
Source: Rfam by way of RNAcentral